CUGCGCGGCAACCGUGAUAAAAUAUAGAUUACACUAUUGCAGCGCACGGCGAACGGAAAUCCAACGCGGAAAAUAAUAGUUAUUGAUGUGAAAACGUCUUAUACGGUGCUCAAAUGUUUCCGUUUGGGCCGUAAACAUUUUCGAUCAUUAUCGGUUUUGAGUAACGCUCGAUACCUAUUAUAAUAUUAUUAAAAGGAGAGGUGAUUUUUAUGUCUGAAGUUCCACUGGUUUUUUCAAAUUUUUCGAAAAACGCCGAAAUAUAUUUUGCCACUAACAGCCGAAUUCGAGUUCAAUUUGUUUGUCACAAAUAUGUGGUGUGCAAUGGCGAAAAAUCAUAAAACUCCGGAUAAUGACCCGAUGAAAUCUAAGUCACAGCAGGGGUAUCAGGAUUGUAUAGAGAUAGGUUAGUACAGUCCAGUAUGCAGUAUGCAAGGGUGAUUAAUCAUAAGACUCGAGAUAACGACAAGAUGAAAACUUUAUUAUCGCUGGUGUAUCAAGACUGUGUAGUGAAGGAUUAGUUCAGUUGAUUAUGCAGUAUGCAAUUGCGAAAAAUCAUAAAACUCCAGAUAAUAACCUGAAAAAAUCUAAAUCAUAGCAGGUGUAUCAAGAUUGCAAGGAACAUUUUAAACUUAUUUCUAUUUUAAAAUCAACUUAUUUUGGUAAUAACUUGUUUAUAUGAAUGAGAAAUGUCUCAGAAUAUGCCUACAUAAGGUUCCUAAUUAUUUUUAAAUUAUUAUUUUUAUUAUUGCAUUGACAGGCAUAGCGUAAAAAUUGGGUAUUAUGCUUAUACAAUAAUAAUAAGUCAGACUUGCUUACACUGAUUAGUAUAUAAUGAUUUGAGCUAUAAUUCUUUUCAACAGUUUUGUAAUACAUCCAGAUUUAUAUAUAAGUUAAGCUUUGAAAUGUAAUUUUUUUAUAUAUAUUAGUACUUUCUUUACUUGUAAGUAAUGUUUUAUCACCUGUAAAGAAUGAUAUGCUGUAAACCUACUACUUUUUUGUACAAAAUAACUAUUAUUCUGUCUACUAUCGUAAUGAGAUAUAUAUCUUAUUGUUGACCAAAAAAUUAUGUGUCAUUGAAACUAUUAUAGGUGUGUGCAGUAUUAUUUUAGUAAGGGUUAUUUUACCUAAUACAAUUCAGUAAGAUAAAUAAUGUCUCUAUAUUAUUAUAAUAAUUAGUUUAUAAUAUAAGUCUAAUUAUAGUCUAAAAUUUUUAGA
Molecule: long non-coding RNA, 1215 nt
Organism: Acyrthosiphon pisum (pea aphid)
Lineage: Eukaryota; Metazoa; Arthropoda; Insecta; Hemiptera; Aphididae
Exons: 4
Source: RefSeq, a predicted model, not a curated record